Molecule: unclassified non-coding RNA, 341 nt
Filed under: uncultured fungus
Lineage: Eukaryota; Fungi
Description: partial contains 5.8S ribosomal RNA and internal transcribed spacer 2
Rfam family: 5.8S ribosomal RNA (bases 1-133)
Source: RNAcentral
UGGUUCUCGCAUCGAUGAAGAACGCAGCGAAAUGCGAUAAGUAAUGUGAAUUGCAGAAUUCAGUGAAUCAUCGAAUCUUUGAACGCACCUUGCGCUCCUUGGUAUUCCGAGGAGCAUGCCUGUUUGAGUGUCAUGUUAACUCUCAACCCUUUGGUUGGAUUAUGGACGUUGCGGGAGGCCUUCCGCUCGUCUCAAAUGCAUUUAAAUUGCGUUGCGCGGCCAGGCUGCGGGCUAAGUCAUGCUUGCCACGCUUGCUUGCGCCGUUUACUCGCAACUCGGGUAACGCCAUCGGCGUGACCCACUUGACUUCUGGCCUCAAAUCAGGUAGGAUUACCCGCUGA